AUUGAACGCUGGCGGCAUGCCUUACACAUGCAAGUCGAACGGCAGCGCGGGGCAACCUGGCGGCGAGUGGCGAACGGGUGAGUAAUAUAUCGGAACAUACCCUAGAGUGGGGAUAACGUAGCGAAAGUUACGCUAAUACCGCAUACGCACUAAGGUGGAAAGUGGGGGAUUCGCAAGAACCUCAUGCUCAUGGAGUGGCCGAUAUCUGAUUAGCUAGUUGGUGAGGUAAAGGCUCACCAAGGCGACGAUCAGUAGCUGGUUUGAGAGAACGACCAGCCACACUGGAACUGAGACACGGUCCAGACUCCUACGGGAGGCAGCAGUGGGGAAUUUUGGGACAAUGGGGGCAACCCUGAUCCAGCAAUGCCGCGUGAGUGAAGAAGGCCUUGGUUGUAAGACUCUUUGUCUAGGGAAGAAACGGUGAUUCUAAUACAGAUUGCUAAUGACGGUA
Molecule: ribosomal RNA, 451 nt
Filed under: uncultured bacterium
Lineage: Bacteria
Description: bacterial SSU rRNA
Rfam family: Bacterial small subunit ribosomal RNA
Source: RNAcentral